GGGAGGGCCGGGGCAGAUGCGUGGGUAGUACGGAGGGGUCAAGCGUUAUCCGGUUUUAUUUGGUUUAAAGGGUCCGUAGGCGGACUUAUAAGUCAGUGGUGAAAGCCUGUCGCUUAACGAUAGAACGGCCAUUGAUACUGUAAGUCUUGAGUAUAUUUGAGGUAGCUGGAAUAAGUAGUGUAGCGGUGAAAUGCAUAGAUAUUACUUAGAACACCAAUUGCGAAGGCAGGUUACCAAGAUAUAACUGACGCUGAGGGACGAAAGCGUGGGGAGCGAACAGGAUUAGAUACCCUGGUAGUC
RNAcentral lists this ribosomal RNA (300 nucleotides) under uncultured Paenibacillus sp. Its description in RNAcentral is "bacterial SSU rRNA". It matches the Rfam family "Bacterial small subunit ribosomal RNA", at positions 496 to 795 of the family's 1533-position model. The record is from RNAcentral. Lineage: Bacteria; Bacillati; Bacillota; Bacilli; Caryophanales; Paenibacillaceae.